GAGAAAGCAGGGGAUCGUAAGACCUUGCGCUGAUGGAUGAGCCGAAGUCGGAUUAGCUAGUUGGUGGGGUAACGGCUCACCAAGGCGACGAUCCGUAGCUGGUCUGAGAGGACGACCAGCCACACUGGAACUGAGACACGGUCCAGACUCCUACGGGAGGCAGCAGUGGGGAAUAUUGGACAAUGGGGGAAACCCUGAUCCAGCGACGCCGCGUGUGUGAAGAAGGCCUGCGGGUUGUAAAGCACUUUUAGUGGGGAUGAAAUGUGCAGGGUUAAUACCUCUGCAUUUUGACCUAACCCACAGAAAAAGCACCGGCUAACUCUGUGCCAGCAGCCGCGGUAAUACAGAGGGUGCAAGCGUUAAUCGGAAUUACUGGGCGUAAAGCGUGCGCAGACGGUUAUAUAAGUCGGGUGUGAAAGCCCCGGGCUCAACCUGGGAAUUGCAUUCGAGACUGUGUAGCUAGGGUACGGAAGAGGGAAGCGGAAUUUCAGGKGUASSGGUGAAAKGCGUAGAUAUCUGAAGGAACACCAG
Molecule: ribosomal RNA, 531 nt
Filed under: uncultured bacterium
Lineage: Bacteria
Description: bacterial SSU rRNA
Rfam family: Bacterial small subunit ribosomal RNA
Source: RNAcentral